GUGCGUGUAGCUCAGCUGGAUAGAGCGUCUGGCUACGGACCAGAAGGUCGUGGGUUCGAAUCCUGUCACGCACACUA
This 77-nucleotide transfer RNA is filed under the name Butyrivibrio proteoclasticus B316. RNAcentral describes it as "tRNA-Arg". It matches the Rfam family "tRNA". From Rfam's summary of the family: Transfer RNA (tRNA) molecules are approximately 80 nucleotides in length. Their secondary structure includes four short double-helical elements and three loops (D, anti-codon, and T loops). Further hydrogen bonds mediate the characteristic L-shaped molecular structure. tRNAs have two regions of fundamental functional importance: the anti-codon, which is responsible for specific mRNA codon recognition, and the 3' end, to which the tRNAs corresponding amino acid is attached (by aminoacyl-tRNA synthetases). tRNAs cope with the degeneracy of the genetic code in two manners: having more than one tRNA (with a specific anti-codon) for a particular amino acid; and 'wobble' base-pairing, i.e. permitting non-standard base-pairing at the 3rd anti-codon position. Lineage: Bacteria; Bacillati; Bacillota; Clostridia; Lachnospirales; Lachnospiraceae. The record is from RNAcentral.